Mastomys coucha (southern multimammate mouse) is the source of this 1300-nucleotide long non-coding RNA. RefSeq lists it as uncharacterized. The transcript has 10 exons. Lineage: Eukaryota; Metazoa; Chordata; Mammalia; Rodentia; Muridae. The record is from RefSeq and is a predicted model, not a curated record.
CAGAAAUUCUAUGUCCAAAUCAAGACCAAGUGGUAUCCACUCAGGAAAGGAUGAUGAUGUGGAUGCAGCUUCAGUAUGACCAUGAGGCUAGGAUAUGUACCCUCAGAAAUUAAGAUAUUACAAUGCAAAUUGAAUAACAAACAAAAUGUACCCAGCUGAAAGUGGUAGAUGGAACAGAAGCAAGGACCAAAGGGUUCACUCAGCUCUGGCUAACUGGUCCCUGGAAUACUUGUCAGUCUGGAGGCUGCACCUCAGAAGAUGGCUGUGGUUAUGAACCACAUGAAGCUGGGUCUAUAUAACUCAACACGGUGCCCUAUGUUCCAUUCAGAAGUGUUUGGACAUGCCACACCUUCAACUAAAAUAACUACAUGUUUAUCACCCUUAUCAACAUCAUGCUGUAGUCUGCCAACUUGAUCCUGACAAUUGUUUAAGAGGAAGGAAGAUGAAAGUCAUUGCUUAUAUUACCAUUGAAAUAUGAGGGCUUCCAGAAAAUCACCUCCCAGAGAGAGACUGUACCUCCUGAUGUGGGAGAAGACCCAGAACAUGAAGUUUCACUCUUUGUCAGAGAAUUUAAAGUAUCACUCUGUUGUCUACUUCAAUGUUGUUUCAAAUCAGUAUGUGCCAUAUCUACACACAAAUAAUAAGAAUCUGGUGGAUCGAGUGUGACAGGUAGUAGAUACUACCAUCUCCUCUUUUUCAGAAGAACUAUUGAGUCACUGAAAGGACAAGCAUCAGGCUAGUCACAAAAAUGAGAGUUUACUGAUUGAUUUGAUUGAAUAGAGUUGUAAGCAUGCUACAGAAUUUGGCUGUUAUGUGAUGCAACUGUUCAUCAACUAUCACAGAGUAUGCUUACGCCAGCUUGAAGAACAUAGUCUACUAUAUAUCCAGGCUCUACAGUGGAACACAGAGAUCUGAGACACAAAACUAUACAGUUAUGUCAUUGCAUUGACUGACAAAGAUAAGUACAUAGUUCUCAGCUACUGAACCCAAACCUGUCUUGAGUGAUAUCAUGCCGCCGGCCAUAAAGAUAAUGGAUGAAACCUCUGAACUGGAAACAGGUGGAUCUGCUUCUUCUCACUGUGAAGAGGCCCAGGAACUGGCUGAAAGUACAAGAUGGCUUUGACAUGUCUACAGAGAGUUUCUUUAAAAUUGCUUAAAUUAUCUUAUUAUUCAUCAAUGAAGUAGUCAAGAGACCUGAGUUCUAACACUGCCACAUGCUUGUCUGCCUUUCAACUUUGCCUCUUCUAACACUGAAGAUAACUAGAGAAGAGUCUUUUGUCAUUUGCCACACCAUUACCAC